AUGGCUCAGGAUGAACGCUAGCGACAGGCUAACACAUGCAAGUCGAGGGGCAGCACGGGAGUAGCAAUACAACUGGUGGCGACCGGCGCACGGGUGAGUAACGCGUAUGCAACCUACCUAUCAGAGGGGAAUAACUCGGCGAAAGUCGGACUAAUACCGCAUAAAACAGGGGCACCGCAUGAUGAUAUUUGUUAAAGAAAUUCGCUGAUAGAUGGGCAUGCGUUCCAUUAGGUAGUUGGUGAGGUAACGGCUCACCAAGCCGACGAUGAAUAGGGAACUGAGAGGUUGGUCCCCCACACUGGUACUGAGACACGGACCAGACUCCUACGGGAGGCAGCAGUGAGGAAUAUUGGUCAAUGGGCGGGAGCCUGAACCAGCCAAGUCGCCGUGAAGGAAGAAGGAUCUAUGGUUCGUAAACUUCUUUUGCAGGGGAAUAAAGUGCAGGACGUGUCCUGUUUUGUAUGUACCCUGAGAAUAAGGAUCGGCUAACUCCGUGCCAGCAGCGGC
RNAcentral lists this ribosomal RNA (507 nucleotides) under uncultured bacterium. Its description in RNAcentral is "bacterial SSU rRNA". It matches the Rfam family "Bacterial small subunit ribosomal RNA", at positions 19 to 518 of the family's 1533-position model. The record is from RNAcentral.